Molecule: small RNA, 17 nt
Filed under: Arabidopsis thaliana (thale cress)
Lineage: Eukaryota; Viridiplantae; Streptophyta; Magnoliopsida; Brassicales; Brassicaceae
Description: ATSL068410
Source: RNAcentral
UAUUUGAAACUGCAAGU